AGCAGCCGCGGUAAUUCCAGCUCCAAUAGCGUAUAUUAAAGUUGUUGCAGUUAAAAAGCUCGUAGUUGAAUUUCGGGGUCAAUAAGUUGGUCAUGCCAAUGGUAUGCACUGGCUUUAUUGAUUCCUACCUCUUGACGAACUGUGAUGCCAUUAAUUUGGUGUUGCAAGGAAUCAGGACUGUUACCUUGAAAAAAUUAGAGUGUUUAAAGCAAGCUUAUGCUUGAAUACAUUAGCAUGGAAUAAUGAAAUAGGACGUUUGAUCCUAUUUUGUUGGUUUCUAGGAUCGACGUAAUGAUUAAUAGGGAUAGUUGGGGGCAUUAGUAUUCAAUUGCCAGAGGUGAAAUUCUUGGAUUUAUUGAAGACUAACUACUGCGAAAGCAUUUGCCAAGGAUGUUUUCAUUAAUCAAGAACGAAAGUUAGGGGAUCGAAGACGAUCAGAUACCGUCGUAGUCUUAACCAUAAACUAUGCCGACUAGGGAUCGGAUGAUGUUAAUUUUUUAAUGACUCAUUCGGCGCCUUACG
This 522-nucleotide ribosomal RNA is filed under the name uncultured Glomeromycotina. RNAcentral describes it as "SSU rRNA". It matches the Rfam family "Eukaryotic small subunit ribosomal RNA", at positions 569 to 1092 of the family's 1831-position model. The record is from RNAcentral. Lineage: Eukaryota; Fungi; Glomeromycota.